This 504-nucleotide ribosomal RNA is filed under the name uncultured bacterium. Its description in RNAcentral is "partial 16S ribosomal RNA". It matches the Rfam family "Bacterial small subunit ribosomal RNA", at positions 30 to 523 of the family's 1533-position model. The record is from RNAcentral.
AUUGAACGCUGGCGGCAUGCCUUACACAUGCAAGUCGAACGGCAGCAUGGAGAGCUUGCUCUCUGAUGGCGAGUGGCGAACGGGUGAGUAAUGCAUCGGAACGUACCGUGUAAUGGGGGAUAACGUAGCGAAAGUUACGCUAAUACCGCAUACGACCUGAGGGUGAAAGCAGGGGAUCGCAAGACCUUGCGUUAUACGAGCGGCCGAUGUCAGAUUAGCUAGUUGGUGAGGUAAAGGCUCACCAAGGCGACGAUCUGUAGCGGGUCUGAGAGGAGGCUCCGCCCCACUGGGACUGAGACACGGCCCAGACUCCUGCGGGAGUCAGCAGUGGGGAAUUUUGGACAAGGGGGGCAACCCUGUUCCAGCCAUGCCGCGUGAGUGAAGAAGGCCUUCGGGUUGUAAAGCUCUUUCGGCCGGGAAGAAAUCGCACAGGCUAAUACUCUGUGUGGAUGACGGUACCGGCAUAAGAAGCACCAGCUAACUACGUGCCAGCCGCCGCGGUAA